UCCGUAGGUGAACCUGCGGUUGGAUCAUUACAAAGUUUUUGUGCCGGGUGAAAACUCGCGCACUUUAACCCCCUGUGCACUUAUUUUUGGGCGUAAAAACCCAAUGAUAAACUCUGUUUAUAGUCUUUAUUAUAAAAACAAUAACAACUUUUGACAACGGAUCUCUAGGCUCUCGCAACGAUGAAGAACGCAGUGAAAUGCGAUACGUAAUGUGAAUUGCAAAAUUCCGUGAAUCAUCGAAUCUUUGAACGCACCUUGCACGCUGUUUUGCAGCGUAUGCCUGUUUGAGAAUCUAUAGUUUAUUCAACCUCGGUUGAGAUUUGAGUCGCGUUUCAGUGAAACUGACUUUAAAUGCAUUGCUUUGGGUGCACCGUAUGUUGACAUUCGGAGCCAGAGAGAUGAAGGGCUUGCCCACUUCCUCUGUUAAAGAAUUAGUACGGGACAUUCAGACCCAACUACUAUAUUUUAUUCAUGGUCUCAAAUCAGGUAGGACUACCCGCUGAACUUAAGCAUAUCAAUAAGCGGAGGAAGUCGACUGCCAAGGGGCACACAGGGGGGGAUA
RNAcentral lists this ribosomal RNA (562 nucleotides) under uncultured fungus. RNAcentral's name for it is "eukaryotic LSU rRNA". The stretch from base 146 to 294 matches the Rfam family "5.8S ribosomal RNA". Lineage: Eukaryota; Fungi. The record is from RNAcentral.